UUCCAGACUCCUACGGGAGGCAGCAGUGGGGAAUAUUGCACAAUGGGGGAAACCCUGAUGCAGCGACGCCGCGUGAGUGAAGAAGUAUUUCGGUAUGUAAAGCUCUAUCAGCAGGGAAGAAAUAGCGACCUUUGGGUCGCCAGACGGUACCUGAUUAAGAAGCCCCGGCUAACUACGUGCCAGCAGCCGCGGUAAUACGUAGGGGGCAAGCGUUAUCCGGAUUUACUGGGUGUAAAGGGAGCGUAGACGGCGCUGCAAGUCCGGAGUGAAAGUCCAUGGCUUAACCAUGGUACUGCUCUGGAAACUGUGGAGCUUGAGUGCGGGAGGGGCAGGCGGAAUUCCUAGUGUAGCGGUGAAAUGCGUAGAUAUUAGGAGGAACACCAGUGGCGAAGGCGGCUUACUGGACUGUAACUGACGUUGAGGCUCGAAAGCGUGGGGAGCAAACAGGAUUAGAUACCCGAGUA
This 464-nucleotide ribosomal RNA is filed under the name uncultured bacterium. RNAcentral describes it as "bacterial SSU rRNA". It matches the Rfam family "Bacterial small subunit ribosomal RNA", at positions 329 to 792 of the family's 1533-position model. The record is from RNAcentral.